This 248-nucleotide ribosomal RNA is filed under the name uncultured bacterium. RNAcentral's name for it is "partial 16S ribosomal RNA". It matches the Rfam family "Bacterial small subunit ribosomal RNA", at positions 524 to 771 of the family's 1533-position model. The record is from RNAcentral.
UACGGGGGGGGCAAGCGUUGUUCGGAAUUACUGGGCGUAAAGGGCCAGUAGGCGGCCAACUAAGUCGGAUGUGAAAUCCCCAGGCUUAACCUGGGAACUGCAUCCGAUACUGGAUGGCUUGAAUUCGGGAGAGGGAUGCAGAAUUCCAGGUGUAGCGGUGAAAUGCGUAGAUAUCUGGAGGAAUACCGGUGGCGAAGGCGGCAUCCUGGACCGACAUUGACGCUGAACGGCGAAAGCUAGGGGAGCAA